AUCCAGCUGACAAGUCCUAACUGGGACGAAACGCGCAUCCUGGAU
Schistosoma rodhaini is the source of this 45-nucleotide non-coding RNA. The record is from Rfam. NCBI's taxonomy places the organism in Eukaryota, Metazoa, Platyhelminthes, Trematoda, Strigeidida, Schistosomatidae.